AGUUCGUCCAAUAAAAUCAAGCUCUGCUGGAGUCUCACCUCAGGAGAGCACUGACUGGCUGGAGAUGAUGUGGGCAUUUGCAGCCAGUCUGGUAGCUCCUGAUGAGGAGGCGGAAGGUAUUCAUCCUCUAACCGAAAGCCUCACAUCUUUCCACUCAGAGGAACUCUGAAGGACAGGAAGUGGAAAAGAACCAGAGCUGGAGGAGAGAGGACAGAAAGGUUGAGACGGCUGUUACAGUGUUGCACAUUAAAUCGCAGUAAUGUUUUUUCUGUCUGUUGUUGAGCGGUAACUGAUGAUUUAAUUUGAUGAAUAAAAGAUUCCAAAUUGAAA
Non-coding RNA from Neolamprologus brichardi, 330 nucleotides. NCBI's taxonomy places the organism in Eukaryota, Metazoa, Chordata, Actinopteri, Cichliformes, Cichlidae. The record is from RefSeq and is a predicted model, not a curated record.